CCCUUAGAUGUCCGGGGCUGCACGCGCGCUACACUGAAGGAAUCAGCGUGCUAAAACCAUUGUCGAAAGGCAUUGGUAAACCCAUUAAAAUCCUACGUGAUUGGGAUCGGGAAUUGCAAUUAUUUCCCUUGAACGAGCAAUUCCCAGUAAGUGUGGGUCAUAAGCUCGCGUUGAUUACGUCCCUGCCCUUUGUACACACCGCCCGUCGCUGCCCGGGACUGAGCCGUUUCGAGAAAAGCGGGGACUGCUGCUGUCGGGGCUUUCGGGCCUUGGCUUCGGUGGAAACCGCUUUAAUCGCAGUGGCUUGAACCGGGCAAAAGUCGUAACA
RNAcentral lists this ribosomal RNA (328 nucleotides) under uncultured eukaryote. Its description in RNAcentral is "partial 18S ribosomal RNA". It matches the Rfam family "Eukaryotic small subunit ribosomal RNA", at positions 1470 to 1796 of the family's 1831-position model. The record is from RNAcentral.